AGCUCCGAGGUGUUUCACAUAUAAGGUUGCAAACCUUAAGUAGCAGGCUCACUACCUGCCGGGGCUU
This 67-nucleotide transfer RNA is filed under the name Melanotaenia nigrans (blackbanded rainbowfish). RNAcentral describes it as "tRNA-Cys". RNAcentral also lists the same sequence under 2 other names. Lineage: Eukaryota; Metazoa; Chordata; Actinopteri; Atheriniformes; Melanotaeniidae. The record is from RNAcentral.